UACGUAGGUGGCUAGCGUUGUCCGGAUUUACUGGGCGUAAAGAGCGCGCAGGCGGUCGUUCAAGUCGAGUGUGAAAGCCCCCGGCUCAACUGGGGAGGGUCACUCGAUACUGAUCGACUUGAAGGCGGGAGAGGGAAGCGGAAUUCCCGGUGUAGUGGUGAAAUGCGUAGAUAUCGGGGAGGAACACCAGUGGCGAAGGCGGCUUUCUGGCCCGUUCUCGACGGCUGAGGCGCGAAAGCUAGGGUAGCAAACGGG
Molecule: ribosomal RNA, 255 nt
Filed under: uncultured bacterium
Lineage: Bacteria
Description: partial 16S ribosomal RNA
Rfam family: Bacterial small subunit ribosomal RNA
Source: RNAcentral